UCAGACUGCACUCAGCAAAGAAGAAAACCUCAUCGCUGAGUGCCGGUAUGCUGCCAGCGCAGGAAGUCUAAUUGUACACAUAGUCUUGAUUUACCUCAUGGUCCGAUGUUAUCGAAACUUUGGAUUAGGACUAAAAGAAAAAGUAUACCCGCGGCAGACCACCACCACUGGAGUGCAAAGCAGUCUGGUUCAGUAAUCGUGUGACACAAAAUAGUUGUAUCAGUAUACUUACACUAGUCCUUCAAGUGACUUAUUUUACUUAUCAAAGUUAUAGCUCUUAAGAAUAGAUAUUUUAUUAUAUAAGCAAGGCCAAAGAUUAUGGAAAACUGUAAGAGAAGUAAUAUGCAGCAAUAGUAUGCCUAAGUCAUGUGGAAUAAAUGUUGAUAUUUUUGUUUUGUUAUAAUGCUCAAGUUCGAGUGAUAGUAAUAUAUAUAUA
Molecule: non-coding RNA, 436 nt
Organism: Procambarus clarkii (red swamp crayfish)
Lineage: Eukaryota; Metazoa; Arthropoda; Malacostraca; Decapoda; Cambaridae
Source: RefSeq, a predicted model, not a curated record